This 773-nucleotide ribosomal RNA is filed under the name uncultured bacterium. Its description in RNAcentral is "bacterial SSU rRNA". It matches the Rfam family "Bacterial small subunit ribosomal RNA", at positions 8 to 796 of the family's 1533-position model. The record is from RNAcentral.
AGAGUUUGAUCCUGGCUCAGGAUGAACGCUGGCGGCGUGCUUAACACAUGCAAGUCGAACGAUGAUGCCAGCUUGCUGGUGGAUUAGUGGCGAACGGGUGAGUAACACGUGAGUAACCUGCCCUUAACUCUGGGAUAAGCCUGGGAAACUGGGUCUAAUACCGGAUAUGACCUUCCAUCGCAUGGUGGUUGGUGGAAAGCUUUUUGUGGUUUUGGAUGGACUCGCGGCCUAUCAGCUUGUUGGUGAGGUAAUGGCUUACCAAGGCGACGACGGGUAGCCGGCCUGAGAGGGUGACCGGCCACACUGGGACUGAGACACGGCCCAGACUCCUACGGGAGGCAGCAGUGGGGAAUAUUGCACAAUGGGCGCAAGCCUGAUGCAGCGACGCCGCGUGAGGGAUGACGGCCUUCGGGUUGUAAACCUCUUUCAGUAGGGAAGAAGCGAAAGUGACGGUACCUGCAGAAGAAGCGCCGGCUAACUACGUGCCAGCAGCCGCGGUAAUACGUAGGGCGCAAGCGUUAUCCGGAAUUAUUGGGCGUAAAGAGCUCGUAGGCGGUUUGUCGCGUCUGCCGUGAAAGUCCGGGGCUCAACUCCGGAUCUGCGGUGGGUACGGGCAGACUAGAGUGAUGUAGGGGAGACUGGAAUUCCUGGUGUAGCGGUGAAAUGCGCAGAUAUCAGAGGAACACCGAUGGCGAAGGCAGGUCUCUGGGCAUUAACUGACGCUGAGGAGCGAAAGCAUGGGGAGCGAACAGGAUUAGAUACCCCGGUAGUCC